This 208-nucleotide ribosomal RNA is filed under the name uncultured bacterium. RNAcentral's name for it is "partial 16S ribosomal RNA". It matches the Rfam family "Bacterial small subunit ribosomal RNA", at positions 568 to 775 of the family's 1533-position model. The record is from RNAcentral.
CUCGUAGGUGGUUCGUCACGUCGGAUGUGAAACUCUGGGGCUUAACCCCAGACCUGCAUUCGAUACGGGCGAGCUUGAGUAUGGUAGGGGAGUCUGGAAUUCCUGGUGUAGCGGUGGAAUGCGCAGAUAUCAGGAGGAACACCAAUGGCGAAGGCAGGACUCUGGGCCAUUACUGACACUGAGGAGCGAAAGCGUGGGGAGCGAACAG